GUCUACCAUGCGCACCAUGAUCCCUUCUCAAAAGGAAGGGCUUCGGUUUCCUCCACACUCUUUUCGCGGCAUGCUCAAAGGAAACGAGCAGAGAAGGUAUGUCCAAGAAAACAAAUAUCCAAUUUCACUGGAAUUGCAAAAUACUGCAUACACUUUUCAAGGGCAUCCCUGGUAUUGAUUUGUCCUGCUGCGGGUAAUGAGGAUGUUUUCUCUCAUGCGUCCUUGGCAGAUGUUGAUAUUGAUUGGAGGUUGACUGGGAAGACCUAGAAUAUUUCCCAGCAUUUCUCAG
Long non-coding RNA from Ahaetulla prasina, 289 nucleotides. RefSeq lists it as uncharacterized. NCBI's taxonomy places the organism in Eukaryota, Metazoa, Chordata, Lepidosauria, Squamata, Colubridae. The record is from RefSeq and is a predicted model, not a curated record. The transcript has 3 exons.